AGUGAACGCUGGCGGUAGGCCUAACACAUGCAGGUCGAACGGCAGCACAGUAAGAGCUUGCUCUUACGGGUGGCGAGUGGCGGACGGGUGAGGAAUACAUCGGAAUCUACUUUUUCGUGGGGAAUAACGUAGGGAAACUUACGCUAAUACCGCAUACGACCUACGGGUGAAAGCAGGGGAUCUUCGGACCUUGCGCGAUUGAAUGAGCCGAUGUCGGAUUAGCUAGUUGGCGGGGUAAAGGCCCACCAAGGCGACGAUCCGUAGCUGGUCUGAGAGGAUGAUCAGCCACACUGGAACUGAGACACGGUCCAGACUCCUACGGGAGGCAGCAGUGGGGAAUAUUGGACAAUGGGCGCAAGCCUGAUCCAGCCAUACCGCGUGGGUGAAGAAGGCCUUCGGGUUGUAAAGCCCUUUUGUUGGGAAAGAAAAGCAGCAGGUUAAUACCCCGCUGUUCUGACGGUACCCAAAGAAUAAGCACCGGCUAACUUCGUG
Molecule: ribosomal RNA, 492 nt
Filed under: uncultured bacterium
Lineage: Bacteria
Description: partial 16S ribosomal RNA
Rfam family: Bacterial small subunit ribosomal RNA
Source: RNAcentral